RNAcentral lists this ribosomal RNA (497 nucleotides) under uncultured bacterium. Its description in RNAcentral is "partial 16S ribosomal RNA". It matches the Rfam family "Bacterial small subunit ribosomal RNA", at positions 28 to 507 of the family's 1533-position model. The record is from RNAcentral.
GAUGAACGCUGGCGGCGUGCCUAAUACAUGCAAGUCGAGCGAACAGACGAGGAGCUUGCUCCUCUGACGUUAGCGGCGGACGGGUGAGUAACACGUGGAUAACCUACCUAUAAGACUGGGAUAACUUCGGGAGACCGGAGCUAAUACCGGAUAAUAUAUUGAACCGCAUGGUUCAAUAGUGAAAGACGGUUUUGCUGUCACUUAUAGAUGGAUCCGCGCCGCAUUAGCUAGUUGGUAAGGUAACGGCUUACCAAGGCAACGAUGCGUAGCCGACCUGAGAGGGUGAUCGGCCACACUGGAUCUGAGACACGGUCCAGACUCCUACGGGAGGCAGCAGUAGGGAAUCUUCCGCAAUGGGCGAAAGCCUGACGGAGCAACGCCGCGUGAGUGAUGAAGGUCUUCGGAUCGUAAAACUCUGUUAUUAGGGAAGAACAAAUGUGUAAGUAACUAUGCACGUCUUGACGGUACCUAAUCAGAAAGCCACGGCUAACUACGUG